RNAcentral lists this long non-coding RNA (798 nucleotides) under Lathyrus oleraceus (garden pea). RNAcentral describes it as "Pisum sativum (pea) long non-coding RNA (PSAT_LNC008089)". Lineage: Eukaryota; Viridiplantae; Streptophyta; Magnoliopsida; Fabales; Fabaceae. The record is from RNAcentral.
UCACUCUCUCAUUUAUCACACCCUAUGUCAUGAACAAAAAAAAUAGAACUUUGAGAAAAAUGCAAAAAAAAAAAAAUUGAUUUCCUUUUGACAUGUGAAGCAGAGACCGUCUCUCUCUCUCUGAAAAAUUCUAUUUUCACUCUCAACAUAAUAACUUUUCCUUAUUCUUCUGGAAGUGACUUUUGUUCACUCUUUUCCUUCAACUCACAAAACAACUGAUCACAACCACCAUAACUCAACCAAAACACCUCAUUUCACUGAAUCCAACACCACAUCUCCACUUCCGAAUCUCCUCCGUCAGAACUGAUAACAACGUGACCAUCUUCCUAUCAUAAAACAACUCCCUUUAUCGCAUAAAAAAGGACCACCACAAUGUAGAUCACGAACAACACUUUCCUUCUCUUCAUUUUCUCCUUUCGCUACCUUUCCUCUAUUAACCCUUGUAACCAACUAUGAAACAUAAACUUUUCAUCGCCAUUAUUCCCGACCACUAUAACCACCGAAAAUCCAUCAAUAUACUCCCUCUAUCAAAAUGUCAAAUACCACCAUUAACUGCCUGCUUCCGCCAUCCACCACCUUGUUAACUUCAUCCAUUCAACACCACCACCCAUGCUCACCACGCCACCACCACACUAAACAACAACAACCUUAUCAUACAAACUUCUCAUUUCAACCACCAUAAACUCACACAAACACACACCAUUUUCAUCAUUUCAACAACAAAUCAAAGAUCCACAAACAAAAAAACAACAAAAGAAGAAGUAAAAUAUCUCCACCACCGCGUUUAACCGGACCUGC